This is a non-coding RNA of Meleagris gallopavo (turkey), 268 nucleotides long. The record is from RefSeq and is a predicted model, not a curated record. Lineage: Eukaryota; Metazoa; Chordata; Aves; Galliformes; Phasianidae.
CAGAUCUAAGCCUCAAAAAAAACAACACCAGCCAACCAAACAAAAACCCUCUGUAUGUUCCUCCAGGUGCAACAUGAUGUCCCUAUGGGCUAAAAUGGCUUUUAUUUGAUGUUCUGACUGUUCAUUAUACCACGAAUCUUCUGAAAAGCAAAGUGACUUGCACUGGAGACGGCAUAGGUGAGAGCCACUAAUGAGGCAGCACAGAAACAGCUUUGAACCUGUAUAGUCUUCAUCUCCCUCUGGUCUCAGCAAAUAAUUCCCCCUCUGA